GAUGAACGCUGGCGGCGUGCCUAAUACAUGCAAGUCGAGCGAACAGACGAGGAGCUUGCUUCUCUGACGUUAGCGGCGGACGGGUGAGUAACACGUGGAUAACCUACCUAUAAGACUGGGAUAACUUCGGGAAACCGGAGCUAAUACCGGAUAAUAUUUUGAACCGCAUGGUUCAAUAGUGAAAGACGGUCUUGCUGUCACUUAUAGAUGGAUCCGCGCUGCAUUAGCUAGUUGGUAAGGUAACGGCUUACCAAGGCAACGAUGCAUAGCCGACCUGAGAGGGUGAUCGGCCACACUGGAACUGAGACACGGUCCAGACUCCUACGGGAGGCAGCAGUAGGGAAUCGUCCGCAAUGGGCGAAAGCCUGACGGAGCAACGCCGCGUGAGUGAUGAAGGUCUUCGGAUCGUAAAACUCUGUUAUUAGGGAAGAACAUAUGUGUAAGUAACUGUGCACAUCUUGACGGUACCUAAUCAGAAAGCCACGGCUAACUACGUG
RNAcentral lists this ribosomal RNA (497 nucleotides) under uncultured bacterium. RNAcentral's name for it is "partial 16S ribosomal RNA". It matches the Rfam family "Bacterial small subunit ribosomal RNA", at positions 28 to 507 of the family's 1533-position model. The record is from RNAcentral.